AGCGAACGCUGGCGGCAGGCCUAACACAUGCAAGUCGAACGAACCUUUCGGGGUUAGUGGCGGACGGGGGAGGAACACGUGGGAACGUGCCGUUAGGUUCGGAAUAACUCAGGGAAACGGGUGCUAAUACCGAAUGAGCCAUUCGGGGGAAAGAUUUAUCGCCUUUAGAGCGGCCCGUGUCGGUUUAGCUAGUUGGUUGAGGUAAUGGCUCACCAAGGCGACGAACAGUAGCUGGUCUGAGAGGAUGAUCCGCCACAUUGGGACUGGGACACGGCCCAAACUCCUACGCGAGGCAGCAGUGGGGAAUCUUGCGCAAUGGGCGAAAGCCUGACGCCGCCAUGCCGCGUGAAUGAUGAAGGUCUUAGGAUUGUACAAUUCUUUCACCGGGGACGAUAAUGACGGUACCCGGAGAAGAAGCCCCGGCUAACUUCGUG
Molecule: ribosomal RNA, 434 nt
Filed under: uncultured bacterium
Lineage: Bacteria
Description: partial 16S ribosomal RNA
Rfam family: Bacterial small subunit ribosomal RNA
Source: RNAcentral